Salvelinus namaycush (lake trout) is the source of this 203-nucleotide long non-coding RNA. RefSeq lists it as uncharacterized. The record is from RefSeq and is a predicted model, not a curated record. NCBI's taxonomy places the organism in Eukaryota, Metazoa, Chordata, Actinopteri, Salmoniformes, Salmonidae. The transcript has 3 exons.
CUCUAAAAUGCAUCUCUCUGGGGGACAUGACACCAAAGCUAAGAGACCAAUCAAGAGGAAGAGACCAGCCUCCCCUGUACCCAGCUGUGUGUCCAUGAAGAGUGACCAGUCUAUGGAUCAACCUAUGAAGUUUAGAAAGGUAGAAUUUUCUACUGAACAAAGGGGACAGUGCUCUAAAAUGAGUCUCUCUGGGGAGAGAGAGG